This 28-nucleotide non-coding RNA is filed under the name Homo sapiens (human). The record is from RNAcentral. Lineage: Eukaryota; Metazoa; Chordata; Mammalia; Primates; Hominidae.
UCCAAUUUACAGCCAGUUGGUCAGAUGC